ACCAUGCAGUCGAGCGCGAAUAGGGGCAACCCUUAGUAGAGCGGCGCACGGGUGCGUAACACGUGGAUAAUCUGCCUGGAUGCUCGGGAUAACCAGUCGAAAGAUUGGCUAAUACCGGAUAAGCCCACGGUUUCUUCGGAGACUGAGGGAAAAGGUGGCCUCUGUAUACAAGCUAUCACAACCAGAUGAGUCCGCGGCCCAUCAGCUAGUUGGCGGGGUAAUGGCCCACCAAGGCAACGACGGGUAGCUGGUCUGAGAGGACGAUCAGCCACACUGGAACUGAGACACGGUCCAGACUCCUACGGGAGGCAGCAGUGGGGAAUUUUGCGCAAUGGGCGAAAGCCUGACGCAGCAACGCCGCGUGUGUGAUGAAGGUCUUCGGAUUGUAAAGCACUUUCGACCGGGACGAAAACCCGUAGCCCAACACGCUACGGCUUGACGGUACCGGGAGAAGAAGCACCGGCUAACUCUGUGCCAGCAGCCGCGGUAAUACAGAGGGUGCAAGCGUUGUUCGGAAUUAUUGGGCGUAAAGCGCGUGUAGGCGGCGUGACAAGUCGGGUGUGAAAGCCCUCAGCUCAACUGAGGAAGUGCGCCCGAAACUGUCGUGCUUGAGUGCCGGAGAGGGUGGCGGA
Molecule: ribosomal RNA, 632 nt
Filed under: Myxococcus sp.
Lineage: Bacteria; Pseudomonadati; Myxococcota; Myxococcia; Myxococcales; Myxococcaceae
Description: bacterial SSU rRNA
Rfam family: Bacterial small subunit ribosomal RNA
Source: RNAcentral